UAGGGAAUCUUCCACAAUGGACGCAAGUCUGAUGGAGCAACGCCGCGUGAGUGAAGAAGGUCUUCGGAUCGUAAAGCUCUGUUGUUGGUGAAGAAGGAUAGAGGCAGUAACUGGUCUUUAUUUGACGGUAAUCAACCAGAAAGUCACGGCUAACUACGUGCCAGCAGCCGCGGUAAUACGUAGGUGGCAAGCGUUGUCCGGAUUUAUUGGGCGUAAAGCGAGCGCAGGCGGAAUGAUAAGUCUGAUGUGAAAGCCCACGGCUCAACCGUGGAACUGCAUCGGAAACUGUCAUUCUUGAGUGCAGAAGAGGAGAGUGGAACUCCAUGUGUAGCGGUGGAAUGCGUAGAUAUAUGGAAGAACACCAAUGGCGAAGGCGGCUCUCUGGUCUGCAACUGACGCUGAGGCUCGAAAGCAUGGGUAGCGAACAGGAUUAGAUACCCUGGUAGUCCAUGCCGUAAACGAUGAGCGCUAGGUGUUGGGGCACUUUCC
RNAcentral lists this ribosomal RNA (489 nucleotides) under uncultured bacterium. RNAcentral's name for it is "partial 16S ribosomal RNA". It matches the Rfam family "Bacterial small subunit ribosomal RNA", at positions 355 to 836 of the family's 1533-position model. The record is from RNAcentral.